CCUACGGGAGGCAGCAGUGAGGAAUAUUGGUCAAUGGGAGAGAUCCUGAACCAGCCAAGCCGCGUGAGGGAAGACGGCCCUAUGGGUUGUAAACCUCUUUUGUCGGAGAACAAAACCCGGGACGAGUCCCGGACUGCGUGUAUCCGAAGAAAAAGCAUCGGCUAACUCCGUGCCAGCAGCCGCGGUAAUACGGAGGAUGCGAGCGUUAUCCGGAUUUAUUGGGUUUAAAGGGUGCGUAGGCGGUCUGUUAAGUCAGCGGUAAAAUGGCGGGGCUCAACCCCGUCGAGCCGUUGAAACUGGCAGACUUGAGUUGGCGAGAAGUACGCGGAAUGCGCGGUGUAGCGGUGAAAUGCAUAGAUAUCGCGCAGAACGCCGAUUGCGAAGGCAGCGUACCGGCGCCAGACUGACGCUGAGGCACGAAAGCGUGGGGAUCGAACAGGAGUAGAUACCCUAGUAGUC
This 459-nucleotide ribosomal RNA is filed under the name uncultured bacterium. RNAcentral describes it as "partial 16S ribosomal RNA". It matches the Rfam family "Bacterial small subunit ribosomal RNA", at positions 338 to 795 of the family's 1533-position model. The record is from RNAcentral.